CCAAUCCCACGCUUCCUGUCUGAGGUACUUCCGUAUUUACAAUCCUACACACAGCAAAGAGAGAAAUGAAGAAGAGGAAGAUGAUCACACCGUUUCUCGAGGCCAGACAUGGUUCCACACAUGCCCGUCUUCGGUUACUGGAGAGAAGACAAAAAAAAAUAAAAGAAACCAAAGAAAGGGGUUAACUUGUGAAUGGGCCAUUUAUGCGGUGUAGGGUUUAAACAAUGUGACCUUUUAAACACUGUAAGCAGCAGUGCUCCUGUGGAAACGGAGGGCUGAAAUCCCGGCGGGCUGAGUCUGAUUGGUUGUUCUGCCUGACGCCCAAUAAGAACGUCGCCCUCGCGGGAUCUGAAGAGUCUGCUACAGCAACACCUUGUGACACCUGCAGCUGCUGCGACACUUCACAGCCCCCACCCCCCCACCCGCCCCUGUGCGCCAACAGUUUUAUCGCAGAGACGGUGCGUCGUGAAUACAAAACGCAGGCCUGUUCCUUGUUUGGCAGACGCACCCAAAACCCUGAACUCAAAAUGUGGGGUGAACAGAGCGGGCAUCAUUUGCACCUCCAUCCCAUCCAAACUGUAAAUGAAUCAAAAUCCAAAUGGUGGUGUGA
Long non-coding RNA from Anguilla rostrata (American eel), 610 nucleotides. RefSeq lists it as uncharacterized. Lineage: Eukaryota; Metazoa; Chordata; Actinopteri; Anguilliformes; Anguillidae. The transcript has 2 exons. The record is from RefSeq and is a predicted model, not a curated record.